AGGUCAUUUGAUGUCUUUUACAGCUUAAAAAGUUUGGUUUAUGAAACUGAGGUACAUAAACAUAAAAGGACCAUGAAAUCAUAGAUGUAAAACUAUCCAUGCUUUCUUCUGGGCCUCAGUUUUCUACUCCAUAAAAUCUUGACAAUAAAAUUGAUGUUACUUACUUCCUGGAAUUGUUGUGAAGAAAGCAAUUUAUAAAAUGUAUGUCAUUUUUGAAGUGUGAAUUCCAGUUAUUAUUAUCAUAUUUAAAGACUUCAGAGGCCACCUGAUUCAAUAUACACACACAUUUUACAGAUGAAGAAACAGAUCAAGAGAAAUUUAAUGAUAUGGAACAUAAAACAAGUAGCAGAGGCAGAUUUGAACCCAAUUUUCUGACUCCUGAGUAAUAUGUCUUCUCCCACACCACAAUACCUCCCCUCAGUGUAUUUUCGGUUCCAGAAAUGGGACUUGCACACAGUUACAAUUUAAUGUUUAGAGCUUUGCAACCCUUUAAAAAAAACUACAUACACACACAUUUAUGUGUAUAUGUAAUAUGUAUAUCCGCCAGCAACUAUUAUUAAUGAUAACAAUAAUAACCUGUGCAAUGACGUCUAGUAAUAUAUAAAGUCUUUGAGAGUAGAUACUAUAUAUUUUUUUUUUCGCUGAAGCAAUUGGGGUUAAGUGACUUGCCCAGGGUCACAGUUAGGAAGUGUUAGGUGUCUGAGACCAGAUUUGAACUCAGGUAUUCCUGACUUCAGGGCUGGUGCUCUAUCCACCACACCAUCUAGCUGCCCCUUAGAUAUUAUUAUUUUCAUCUUUAUAACCUCAGCAUCCAGCAUAAUUCUUGAUAAAUAGUAGAAGUUUAAUAAAUGUUUGCCUAACUGACAGAAUGAUUUUUUUGGACAGAUUUGUGAUUUCAUUGGUGCAGUGAACCCCUCUUGAAAAUACUCCUUCUAUCAAAUCAUCACUUGUUCUGCAACUGGUAAAUAUUAAGUGUCCACAAGGUGCCAGACAAAAUGGUCAAAAUCAGAGGUUAAACCCAGAAUUUCCUAUCUUGAGAUUAGCUCUUUACAUCCCCAUCUCAAUUAUUAUGAUUGUAUUCUUUUCAUCUUUUUAUUGGACUCACAGAAAAUAGUUUUUAGACAAUAAUGUACUAUUAUUCUUUUCUAUUUAAUAUUCUAUAAACUAUUUCAUAGAGGGAGAAAAUAAUUACUUUGUAGCUUAAUAAAAUUAUUAGGAUAUAAGCUCAUCUUCUAUAAGGUCAUCAAAAGCAUCCUCAACUUAAUUCAACUAUCAGGAUAAAAGGAGAUCUUAGAGACAACUUAAUCCAGUGCUCCCCCUUCAUUUUAUGCCUGAGGAAACUGAGACCCAAAGAAAUUAUCUUAUUCCCACAGGAUUCUGACCUUUUCCACAAGGUCUCUAUAUUCUGAAAGGUUUUCAGACCAAGUAGUUUGAAGAUAAUGAAUAUUUGGUAUGAUGACAUCUAUUAAGAAUGGAAACAAAAAUUCAUCUUUUUAGUAUCAACAUCCUACCAAUGUUACUGUAUGGUAGUGAAAUAUGGAAUGUAUUAGUCUCUGAAGUAUUAAAAAUUGUGUGGCAGAUAAUAGAGAGAUGUACAGUGUGUAUAUGAUCAGGCUGCCACAUAGAACCAAUGAGGGACUUCAAAGAAUGGGAAUAAAAGAUUUUCUUCAGGGAAAUUUAUGAUACAAAGAUAAGAUGGGUGGGUCACAUAUCAAGGAAAAAGAUGACAAGUAGACAGCUACAGUGUUCCACUGUCAUCAUAGAGUAUUAAGAGAUGGAAAACUCACGAAAGAACACUAGCAAGAAGUGCUCAAGUAGGAUGGUCAGGUCUUGUAUUGCUUCCAAUGUGUAUCAUCAGGGGGAACUUUCAUACUAUUGAGAUCACAGGUCUUUUUCAGUAAGUGAAUUUCACAGGUCCAUUUUAGUAAUUCUAAUAUUUAUCAAAAGUAUUAUUUGUUUAAAAAAUUAAAAUUAAAUUAAAAUUAAUUUUAAAAUUAAAAAAUAUUAUUUUUUAAAAGAAAUAUAGCUAGGUGAUGCAGUAGAUAGAGUACUGGACUUGAAGUCAGGAAGACCCUACUUAGUAUAUGAUCUUGGGUAUAUUACUUAAUAGCCAUCUAAUAACAGAAUCUGCCUCAUAGGAGUGUUGUGACACUAUCUUAAAACUGUCACAUAAAUGCAAAUGACAUAGUCCCAAGCGUCUUUUUUAGCAAGCCUUGAAGCAAUCAAAAUCAAAAACAGAAAAAAGUUUUAGGGAUUUAUCUAGCUAACUAAUUAAGGAGGGAGGGGUAAACCAGCCCAGAUCAGAAAUGGAUCAAAUUAAAGAUUCCAUGCUAAUCAGCAGUGAUCAUCUGCUCCAUUUCUAACCCAGUCUGAAGGGGAAAAAAUAUUUCCUCUAACUCUUUAAAAGCAAGUUUGUUGUAUAUAUUCCUCCUCUAUAAAAAAUCUCCAGAAAUUAGUGUUCUAAAGUUUUCCAUUCUUUAAAAAUACUGAAAUAAGUCUUAUUUUGUCAUAAGGUCUUAUAAAGAAUUUGGGGAUAUUUAUUAUUAUCAUUAUUUAAAUGUUUAUAGGGAUAACAAACAAAUCAUGGGGUAUAUAAUUUCUCAAUAUUAUCUGAAGAUUAAUGUUUGAGUUUUAAAAUUAUAAAAUCUAUGCAACCUGAAUUUAUCAUCUUAGCAAAAGUUAAUAGCAUCCUUAAACUCUCUGUAAUCAAUAUGACUUUAGAAAUGCAAAAUCUAUGAUAAAUUUUAUCUCCUCUUAAUUUUUUUCUAAGUUUUUUAAAAGAAAGUUUUUUUUAUAUAACAGAAGCCCAUUACAUCAAUCAGAACAAGAUUUUCCAUGUUCAUGGCUAUGUCAGCCUGUGUAUUGGCUAAAAACAUAUUUCAGUGUUUCUAGGAUUUCUGAUUUCAUUGGAUAAAUACUCCCUUCAUUGACAAAAAUCUUACUCUUACAAGAAUACUUUAUUGAUCCCGUAAUGUUAGUGCCUUCUCUCCACUGAUUAUCUCUAAUUUAUCUUAUAUAUAUUGUUAUAAAUAAUUGUUUUCACAUUGUCUCCUCCAAUAAACUCUAAAUUACUUGAAAGCAAGAUCUGUUUUUUUGCCUUUGGCUGAGGGAUUGGGAGAUGUGAGGGAAGGUUAGGUGGGGGAGAGGGGUAGUAUAUUUGCAUAGUAUAUGAAUUCAAAUCUGGCCUCCAACAUUUACACUCAAAUACUCCCUAGUUGUGUGACCCUUUGUGAAGAUUGAGUUAGCACCCUGGAUGCCCCAGAAUCAGCCAGAGUCAGAAUAAGCAAAAAUCCUUGGUCUUUAUUCUUGGUCUUUAGGAGUAGAAGUGAACAGAAUGAACACAGGAUCUCCACAAUCUCCUUCUUCCUUGUCUACCACCAGAGUGACUCUGGCUUGUCUUACUCCACUCCCUAAUCCUUCCCACAAUUCUCUGUAUACACCAAAAGAUUGAACCAGCACAGAAUAGUGGGAAGGGCCAUUUUCCAAGAAUAUGCUAAUAGAAUAUUGUCCAACCAGUAAUUAGCCUUACGGGCUCUGUUGUCCAACCCCAGUGCAUCAACUCAGAGUUUCAACCCUUUACAACUCCCGCUUUCUUUUGUUUUAGAACACAGGUGGUCACACCCUCCCUGACUUCUCAGGAAGGGAGAUGAAAAGCACCAAAUACAAGUGGAUAUUGCUAGUGGGUUUCUGGGCUGAAGACUCUUAUUAGAAACAGGUAUGCACAAACCCAUCAGCAUGGGAGGUAUUAGACACGCACAUAGCAAUAAUGCAGAGGCUAUUAGUGGUAACCCUUCCCUCAGUCAGUGCAGGCUUGAUGUGGUGCAACAAACAUGAAUUGUACAUGCAAGUAGUGAUAUAACAAACAAUAUAAAUCAACAUGGUGUUGUAAAAGAUUUCCAGAAGUCCUAGAAGAAGGGUAUGUAAACAACAGUCAUACAUACACCUUCUUCAGCAGCCAAGAGAUAGUCCAAAACCAAUCUAUUGUCCAUUGCUUCACCUGUCAGUCAAUGAUCCCUGCAAGUUUUUGAAGUCCUGCAACAGUCUUUUUACGUGUUAGGGAAUCCAAUGAUUCCAGCAGAUUUGAAGUCCUGUAACAGUCUUAUCAUUUCACAGAAAAUCCAUUGAUUCCUGAGGAUUUUCAAGUCCUACAACAAUCCUAUCAUGUCUCAGAGAAUCCAAUGAUUCCUGACGGUUUUCAAGUCCUAUAACAAUCUUAUCAUAUCUCAGAAAAUCCAAUGAUUCCUGAGGGUUUUCAAGUCCUACAACAGUCUUAUCAUGUCUCAGAGAAUCCAGUGAUUCCUGAGGGUUUUCAAGUCCUACAACAGUCUUAUCAUGUCUCAGAGAAUCCAGUGAUUCCUGAGGGUUUUCAAGUCCUACAACAAUCUUAUCAUGUCUCAGAAAAUCCAAUGAUUCCUGAGCAUUUUGAAGUCCUACAACGAUCUUAUCAUGUCUCAGAGAAUCCAAUGAUUCCUGAGGAUUUUGAAGUCUGUGAUGUCCAUGAGUCAAUCGCCAUAACUGCCAUGCUCAUUGAGUGGUGGGCACAGUCAGCAAUGGAACCACCCGAUGUUUUUUGGGUCUUCUCCUUCGUUUCAAGGAUCUGCUCCGUCUCUCUGAUGGACAAGGAGAAGAUUUAAGAAGCAUCUGACACUGAAAGAGCAUGGCUGACAAUGAGACUGUCAAAAGAACUUGAAAAUCUU
Sarcophilus harrisii (Tasmanian devil) is the source of this 4697-nucleotide long non-coding RNA. NCBI's taxonomy places the organism in Eukaryota, Metazoa, Chordata, Mammalia, Dasyuromorphia, Dasyuridae. The record is from Ensembl.